AUUGAACGCUGGCGGCAUGCCUAACACAUGCAAGUCGAGCGGUGAAACCGCCUCCGGGCGGACAUGAAGCGGCGAACGGGUGAGUAACACGUGACCGACCUGCCCCCCGCCCAGGGACAGCCCCCCGAAAGGGGGAUUAAUACCUGGUACUCCGGAAGCGGCGCAUGCCGCGUCCGGGAAAGCUUUCGCGGCGGGGGAUGGGGUCGCGGCCCAGCAGGUAGACGGCGGGGCAGAGGCCCACCGUGCCGACGACGGGUAGCCGGGUUGAGAGACCGACCGGCCACAUGGGGACUGAGAUACGGCCCAGACUCCUACGGGAGGCAGCAGUGGGGAAUUUUGCGCAAUGGGGGCAACCCUGACGCAGCAACGCCGCGUGCGGGACGAAGGCGUCCGCGUCGUAAACCGCUUUCAGCGGGGAACACUUCAACGAGGGUACCCGCAGAAGAAGCCCCGGCUAAAUACGUGCCAGCAGCCGCCGUAA
Molecule: ribosomal RNA, 481 nt
Filed under: uncultured bacterium
Lineage: Bacteria
Description: partial 16S ribosomal RNA
Rfam family: Bacterial small subunit ribosomal RNA
Source: RNAcentral